Molecule: long non-coding RNA, 4589 nt
Organism: Oncorhynchus tshawytscha (Chinook salmon)
Lineage: Eukaryota; Metazoa; Chordata; Actinopteri; Salmoniformes; Salmonidae
Source: Ensembl
UCAAAAUGUUCUCUUGCUGAGCCUGGCUAUCACACAAUAUUAACAAUCUACCAUUUCCAAUGAACUGGGCUAAUUUCACUUCACCUACCUCUUUCUCUACAGCAUUAGUUAGUCGGAUAGCGUGUAAAUUAAGCCCUCUCUACACUAGCACCACUUUCCACUCCAACACAUCACUACUCUUGCUUCCUACCCUGGCCCUCUUUAUGCUUUCUUUACUAGACGUCCCACUGCUUUCUGUAUCAUGAUCUCUCUUCUUCCUGUCUUUCCACUACCGACCGCCUGUGCUAAUAACGGCAUCAGAGCGCCUCUUGUGGGGUGAUUCCGACACGAGGGAAAAGAUGGCAGAAGUGGAUGCUGUGUUCGAAUCAAGCAGCGCGUCGAGCAAAUUUGGUGAAGAAAAAUGUUUUGAAUUGACAACAAUAGUAGUGAAAACUUGAACAAAAAUAAAAUUGGCUUAAAAUUGGAGUGGAGGAUACGUGUAUGAAUGAUAAUGAAUCACUUCUUGUUGUAAUGCGUUUGUUGAGUAAGGAUGCAUAUGUGGGAAAAACACGUUUGAGGUGUCAAAUGGUUAAGUGUGCGCUGGGAAAAGUGGAGUCUGUCAGAGUGACCAGGAGUGACCUUAUUUUGAUUCAUUGUAUUUCUGAAGAACAGAGUAAGAUUGCAGUGAGCCUCAAAAGAAUGCGAACAACAUAAGUUUUGAACUUGAGUAGAGCACCCGUCAAAGGAGUCAUCUCAGGGGUGAAAAUUGAUGUUCAGGUUCCCGGUGGGUGAAUGGAGAAAAAUAAGAAAGUCUGCUGGUCCUGUUGUUUUUUGAUAAAGAGCAAAUACAUACGCAUGUGAAGCUUGGUUAUGUAAGAUAUUUCAUCCUCAAACCAUUGCAGUGUAAGCGUUGUAAAGGAUUUGGCCAUGUUUCAAAUAUGUGCAGACGGAAGGAGUAUAUUGAAGAACGGUAUGUUGAAGGAGGACAGCGUUGCAAUUGUGGUGGGGAUCAUGAUCCAGCGUUCCUGGAUUGCCCUGUAAGGGUGAAGGAGAUUGACAUGGCAAAAGAAUCCUGUUUCCAUCCCGCACAGUAGGUGGCGAUAUACCAUUGCCAAUAUACCAUAGAAGAAUAAGAAGAUUCGGACACAACGGGGCCUGCAGGAGGACAGGUGACCCUGUACCUGCCUGAAGAAAGUGGGGGUAGGGGGUGCGUGCAGCUGGAAAACAAGACCAAGAUACAUUGUUGGCGGUGGUGCUUCAUGGGACUUUCAUAGUAGGUUAGGAGAGAAUUUUCGCUAAACUUAACCUCAGUCUCCUAACCUGCUAUGUUAAUUCUCCUAACCUGCUGCUUUAAUUUGCCUAACCUUCUGCAUCAAUUCUCUUAACCUGGUACGAAAAAGUCACUUUGGUAUCGAAGUGGCGUGAAGAGAGUCUUUCCCUGUGCUUCAUAGCUUAAAAAGCUUAAACUGAAAGCUGAAAUAACCUUUUAGGUACCAGCAGAGCUUGGGUAAUUAUAUAACUUGUCACAUAUAAUCUUAAAAUUCAAAGGGAAGAUGACUUUAAACAUCUUGUGGCUGCUGCUUAUUUACUAGACCGGGCAUGCUAUUAAACAUAUUAUCGCCUAAUCAGACCAUUUUUACUGAUCCAGCUGGGUGAGCCUUUUGUGAAUUAACACUCGGCACUUUACUUUUUUCCCCAUUACUAUCUAUGACUUUGCUGAGCAGGGUGUUUUCCUCCUCCAGAAACCUGUACUCCAGGGGCUGGGGUGAGAGGGCCGCCUGCACCCCCAGCUCAUAGUGCCCCCCUCCGUUCCCGUCCAGCCGGAGACCCUCCAGCCUGCGUCUGGAGGGUCUGGGGGGCUACUUACUAUGACUGUGAUUUGUGGUUGUCCCUCCAAUCUUAAGAUGAAUGCAAGUCUGAAUGCAAAACUGUAAGUCGUUCUUGAUAAAAGCGUCUGCCAAAUGACUCAAAUGAAUGUUGAGCAUAGCACAAAUGUUCAACCAACCUUUACUUGGUGAUACUUUCUCAAUUACCGACUUGGAAGACAACAUGUCUUCUAAACUUCCAAGUCUAGUUGCAGGAGGUUCAUUUGAAUGUAGAAAAUGCUCCGUUAUUACAUUUAAGAAAUGUUUUGCUCCAUGAAGUAAUCCAACAAUGUGUGCUUCUUUGAUGAAGUUUAACGGUGGUUGACAUCCAAUAAAUGUUGCAUUUACCGCCACCUACUAGACUGGAGUAUAACUCCCUUAUACUUUGCUUGAAAAAAUGAAUAAACCAAUACCCUAAAACUAAACUCACUAAAACAUAUCUGUAUUUUUAAAACACCACCCUACUCCACUAUUUAAAUCUAUUUAGUCCUACUUCAGGCAAACAGCCUGAAAGGAUGGGACAUCCACCACUUAACACACCCUGUAACUCUUCUGAAGUCAAGUCUCGUACACCCAAAUGCCUCUCUGCAGCUGCCACAACAACCUCAAUUAUCUGCGACGUAUAUUCCGUCCCUGCAGUACAGUUGAUAACCAUUGCUAUAAAUGCAAUCUUACUGAAACAUAUCACUUGUUGGACUAUGUACGGUACAGGUACAGAUAUACUACUCACACCACUCCUCUCAGGAUCCCUCCCCAUUGACUCAUCUUCCUCUACUGCCUUCACUGCCUCAGCAUAUGAAAACUUCUGCACUACUCUAACCCUGGAAACCUCAACCUGCCUCUCUCGCACCGGACAUUUCUGAUCCCCAGCCCCAUGGGCACCCCUACAAUUAACACAUACUGUAUUACUACUUUUCCCAAUGCUACACAUUCCUUUGUCUCUCGCCCUUCGGCACACUUCUCACACCUUUGAACUGCCCUCCUACACACUGCUGCCACAUGCCCAUAAGCUCGACACCUGUAACAUCGUAAUGUAUUCGGCACAAAAGCUCGUACAGGAUAACUUAUGUAUCCUAACGUCAAUUUGUCAGGCAAAGGCUCAACAACAGACAACGUCUCUUCUGUUUCACCACUCACACCACCCAGUCUGCGUCGCACCAAACGACAAGCAUCACAAAUACCGGGAAUCUUCCCCUCAGUUGGUAAACUUUCACAUUUCCCGCUACCCCAGUAAUCACUCCUUUUCAAUGGCAGCCUUUUCUUGAGAGAAAAACAAUUUCUUGCCCCCAUUCGUUUAACGCGGAGCGAAACUGCUCCCUCUGACCAGCAGAAACACAAUUAUCACAAGACCACUUUUGGUUACCCUCACCGAUUCCACAGCACCCAACUCUGAUUUCACCCACCCUGAAACCACAAAUGGAUCAGCCAAAAGGCAAGGGUCCACUUUUUCCACUCCCACUGUCAAGGAUUCUUCUUCAUCCUGACACUCGGUGCAAGCCUCGGGCUCCGAGAACUUCACCACACCUACCACCUCUGAUACUAAAGCCUCAUUCACUUCCAUUUCUCAUCCUGUCUCAAUCUCACUCUGCUAACAAUUUCUACUAUUUUUCUUUAACAAACCAUCCCUCUUUUUCCCCACCAUUUUUAACUGACUGGAGCUCACCAUCUUCCUCACUCUCUCUCACUCUCCUCUGCCUCUCUUUUACCCUCCAUUCCUCCUCCAUAUUCCAAGUAUACGUCUCCUUAUGAUAAUACUGCACAUCUCCUGACCUACAUCUUGCUCAUUUAACCGGCUGUCACAAUCUACCUACAAUCAGCACGAACCCCUCGGGAUGUGGAGUUCAACAGUGCAUCACACUUAUAAAGCCACUGCUUCGUCUUGAUAUUCUUCUUUAUCAAUAUCUACCGCAACGCUUUUCCAUUUCAAACACGUUCACUCAUCCAACCACCAUCCACUGUCUCACUUCCUUUUCCUUCCACCUUCCCAAUCCCCUGAAUACUACUCCUGCAAACGCUGUACUAGAAGGAUCCCAACAAUGUGUACGCCACCAUUUUGUCUAUUUCAACUCUUCUCAUUGUUCAAGGCAGGUAAGUGUCAUCAUGACAUGCAGCACGUUGGGGUGGACACACACCUAUCUCAAUCAGUGAGGUGGUUUGAUUAAUCUCGCCCGGCUGCCCAUGUUAGCGUGUUUUGCAAUGACUGCAUUCUAUUUGACUGUGAGCCGGGUGCCCUGCUCUGUCUGAAGGUGAAGUCAGCUCAAAACAAAAGUGAGUAGACUAAUUAAGCACUUGUAGAAAUAAGGGAUUCUGUGUUUUUCCAUGCAGAAGUGGUUGCUUUUGAUAAACGCUUUAUCUGCCUUUCCAAUGAAAACUAGCUAGAAAAUGUGAAAAAAUAUUUGAUGGAAAAGAGAUGUUUCUGGACGAUGCACCAUGCUGCCUUAAUGACAAAAUGACCAAGCAACACAGAUUAAUGUUUGUUUAAGAAGGGUGCUCCUCUAGGGUUGCCAACUGUCCCUUAAUAGCCGGGAUGUCCCUGAUAUUGGGAUAAAUUGAGUUGACCCAUACGGGACCUCCCUUGUCCCGUAUAUUCAUCCAAUCACAGUAUAGCAUAAACGCGCCAAUUCCUGCAAAGUAAUUUCUGUUAUUGUUCAGUCGGUUUGGCAUAUCAAGGAAAUAUGGAUAAACCUGCAAAAAAGACUGUGCAGCUACAGCAAAUAAUGUGAAGCAAAAAAUACAUGGGUUAAA